GAUGAACGCUGGCGGCGUGCUUAACACAUGCAAGUCGAACGAAGCACCUCUCCCGUUGAUUGACACAGCUUGCUGUAGCUUGAUUCAUUUGAGGUGACUGAGUGGCGGACGGUUUAGUAACGCUUCGGUAACCUGCCUCAUAGAGGGGGACAACAGUUGGAAACGACUGCUAAUACCGCAUAGUAAGAAGAAUUCGCAUAUUUUCUUCUUGAAAGCUUUAUCGCUGUGAGAUGGUCCCUCGUCUGAUUAGCUAGUUGGUACGGUAACGGCUUACCAAGGCGACGAAGAGUAGCUGGCAGGAGAGAGGGAAAGACUACAUUGGGACUGAGACACGGACCAAAAUCGUACGGGAGGGAGCAGUGGGGAAUAUUACACAAGGGGGGAAAACCUGAUGAAGCGACGCGGCGGGAGUGAAGAAGUAGGUCGGUAUGUAAAGCUGUAUCAGCAGGGAAGAGAAUGACGGUACCGGACUAAGAAGCACCGGCUAACUACGUG
Molecule: ribosomal RNA, 495 nt
Filed under: uncultured bacterium
Lineage: Bacteria
Description: partial 16S ribosomal RNA
Rfam family: Bacterial small subunit ribosomal RNA
Source: RNAcentral